Molecule: ribosomal RNA, 496 nt
Filed under: uncultured bacterium
Lineage: Bacteria
Description: partial 16S ribosomal RNA
Rfam family: Bacterial small subunit ribosomal RNA
Source: RNAcentral
AUGAACGCUGGCGGCGUGCCUAAUACAUGCAAGUCGAGCGAACAGACGAGGAGCUUGCUCCUCUGACGUUAGCGGCGGACGGGUGAGUAACACGUGGAUAACCUACCUAUAAGACUGGGAUAACUUCGGGAAACCGGAGCUAAUACCGGAUAAUAUAUUGAACCGCAUGGUUCAAUAGUGAAAGACGGUUUUGCUGUCACUUAUAGAUGGAUCCGCGCCUCAUUAGCUAGUUGGUAAGGUAACGGCUUACCAAGGCAACGAUGCGUAGCCGACCUGAGAGGGAGAUCGGCCACCCUGGAACUGAGACACGGUCCAGACUCCUACGGGAGGCAGCAGUAGGGAAUCUUCCGCAAUGGGCGAAAGCCUGACGGAGCCACGCCGCGUAAGUGAUGAAGGUCUUCGGAUCGUAAAACUCUGUUAUUAGGGAAGAACAAAUGUGUAAGUAACUAUGCACGUCUUGACGGUACCUAAUCCGAAAGCCACGGCUAACUACGUG